AAAUAGAUACCCUGUAGUCCACGCCGUAAACGAUGAGUGCUAAGUGUUAGGGGUUUCCGCCCCUUAGUGCUGCGAGCUAACGCAUUAAGCACUCCGCCUGGGGAGUACGGUCGCAAGACUGAAACUCAAAGGAAUUGACGGGGGCCCGCACAAGCGGUGGAGCAUGUGGUUUAAUUCGAAGCAACGCGAAGAACCUUACCAGGUCUUGACAUCCCACUGACCGCUAUGGAGACAUAGUUUUCCUUUCGGGGACAGUGGUGACAGGUGGUGCAUGGUUGUCGUCAGCUCGUGUCGUGAGAUGUUGGGUUAAGUCCCGCAACGAGCGCAACCCUUGAUCUUAGUUGCCAUCAUUUAGUUGGGCACUCUAAGGUGACUGCCGGUGACAAACCGGAGGAAGGUGGGGAUGACGUCAAAUCAUCAUGCCCCUUAUGACCUGGGCUACACACGUGCUACAAUGGACGGUACAAACGGUUGCCAACCCGCGAGGGGAGCUAAUCCGAUAAAACCGUUCUCAGUUCGGAUUGUAGGCUGCAACUCGCCUAC
RNAcentral lists this ribosomal RNA (543 nucleotides) under uncultured bacterium. RNAcentral's name for it is "bacterial SSU rRNA". It matches the Rfam family "Bacterial small subunit ribosomal RNA", at positions 776 to 1319 of the family's 1533-position model. The record is from RNAcentral.